GUUCUCUCUUGCUUCUAUUGGUUUAGUCUGUUUACUCUUCUGGUGCGCGUCCCUGACACCUGGGCCGGGAGGCCUGCUGAGGAAUGCUUCCUUCCCGGGUUUCCAGGGGCACGGCUAUUUGUCAUGCCUCAGAAGCUGCUGCUACAGGUCACACUGUGUGGAGGGAGAGCCCAGGGAAGAAGUCACCACUGUCACCUGAGGUCCGAUCCCUCAACGCCUCAACAAUGGAUUGCUGAUGCAUGCACCAGGGCCCCCUCUGUGUUUUUUAGGAGACACGGCUGUGCAACACGAUGACUCUCUCCACUCCCCCGGCCUGGCUUGUUUCUACGGCAGAAGUCCAUGUGGGGUCCAGAGCUGCUGCACCUGCCGACUGUGAUGGACAGAUGUGGGGCAGGCAUCAUGACUCUUCCCAGGACAAACGCGCAGUCUUAUGUAUGUCAUGGAGACGUUUGUCCCUGGAGUCUUGAGAUCGGAGUUGAGAAGCAUGACUUCUUGAAGAAUCUGGAGGGAGCAGAAGUGAGAUUUGGAGUCCUGCGCUCUCAUCAUGAAGAGACUUCCAGGAGUUCCUCGGCCUCCCUGGGUGUUCUCCAGGUCACACGGCUCCUGGGUCCGGCCCAGCAACAUGUCCUCUGUCUUAGCCAUGACGCGUGCAUGUGGCUUCUCUCAGGAUUCCCCGAAGCCUGCUGUGAGAGCUCAGGACAGAUUCCCAUGUGGAAUAUGGGGUGUAGGCCAAACUACUUGGAACACUGA
RNAcentral lists this long non-coding RNA (750 nucleotides) under Mustela putorius furo (domestic ferret). RNAcentral's name for it is "lncRNA (ENSMPUG00000031279.1)". The record is from RNAcentral. Lineage: Eukaryota; Metazoa; Chordata; Mammalia; Carnivora; Mustelidae.